UGAGACUCUGGCCUACAUCUUCUCAAGCUCCAACCUCUGAAAAUAGAUGUGCUUUAGUAGAUGCUACUUGUCCAAACUGUGAAGAAAUCGAGGGUUGAGAGAAAGUGUGAGAGAGAGGUUUAAGGGUUUGGGCGGUCAUGGUUGACUCUCUGGCUUCUCUCUUGCUUGCCCAAACUGUGAAGAAAUCGAGGGUUGAGAGAAAGUGUGAGAGAGAGGUUUAAGGGUUUGGGCGGUCAUGGUUGACUCUCUGGCUUCUCUCUUGCUUCGUUUAGGUUUCAGCCAGGUAUGAAUGGCGUUUUAUAGAGACAGAGCUUGUGGAUGAAUACAGAGAGAUCGCCAUGGAUAGAGUAUUACAAAGAGCAAGAUCAAGAAAGAGUGUAGAGAGAGACGGAUUGCCAUGGUAGUGUUAGAGAGAGAAAGAUAAA
Molecule: long non-coding RNA, 425 nt
Filed under: Amborella trichopoda
Lineage: Eukaryota; Viridiplantae; Streptophyta; Magnoliopsida; Amborellales; Amborellaceae
Description: long non-coding RNA (ATRI_LNC000177)
Source: RNAcentral